GGACUACACGGGUUUCUAAUCCUGUUUGCUACCCACGCUUUCGCGUCUCAGCGUCAAUGUCCGUCCAGAUGGCCGCCUUCGCCACUGUGUUCCACCCGAUAUCUACGAAUUUCACCUCUACACCGGGUAUUCCGCCAUCCUCUCCGGCAUUCAAGCCAGGUAGUAUCCCGCGCACUUCGUCAGUUGAGCUGACGGAUUUCACACGGGACUGGCCCGGCCGCCUACACGCGCUUUACGCCCAAUAAUUCCGAACAACGCUUGCACCCCCUGUAUUACCGCGGCUGCUGGCAC
RNAcentral lists this ribosomal RNA (291 nucleotides) under uncultured bacterium. Its description in RNAcentral is "partial 16S ribosomal RNA". The record is from RNAcentral.